Suricata suricatta (meerkat) is the source of this 710-nucleotide long non-coding RNA. RefSeq lists it as uncharacterized. The transcript has 3 exons. The record is from RefSeq and is a predicted model, not a curated record. Lineage: Eukaryota; Metazoa; Chordata; Mammalia; Carnivora; Herpestidae.
CCCGCGCUCACACUCACACUCGCGCGCAGGCCCCGCAGCCGCCGCCGCCGCCGGAAGCGGCGCUCGGCCCGGAUCCCGGCUGGGCUGGAGAAGGAGAGGAUCUGGGUGAGAAGCUGCUAUUGCCUGAGCUGGACCGGGACCUGACCGAGACCCCACUGCUACUGCUGCCGCCGCCACUGCUGCCGCUGUGGGGACCUCCCUGAGACCAGGCCAGGGAUAGAGCCUCGCUGGCUGGAGGGCCCCCCUUAGCCUGCAGACACCGGAUCCAGGUGACAGAUGGGUCUUUUCCUUCCUGCCCCGUCUCUCGAGCUCCCUCCUCAGAGUUUCAGUCUCCAGUCUCCCAUGGGAAUCGUGGGAAUCAUCUGAAGUUCUGAGCCCAGAACCCGAGGAGGAGGAGGAAGACGAGGAAGAGGAGGAAGAGAAAUUGGAGGAGGAGGAGGAGGAGGAGGAGGGAGAGGAAGUCAAGUCUUGAGAGCCCGUGGCCUUCCCGGAAACAGGCGGUGGGGUGUGUCCCUGCCCGGUUGCAGCGCCUGGCCUCUGUUGGUAGUGCCCCCCCCCACCCCCAGAGGACCCCGGGCAGUUGGCACUGGCCGUGUCUGCUUCACCUGGGGCCCCCGUGCUGGGGGUCGCCCCCAAGAUGGUGGCGGCCCCGGGGAGGACUGUGCUGCCAGGCCCCGCCUCCCGCUGCUAGGUCCCCCCACGCCCCGGCC